GAAAGCCAUUCAUCUCCACACGUGAUAGCUCGUUUCUGAGAACACUUUUUUAAAAUAAUUGCCGUACUAGAAGUUUGUUAUUUUUCCAGGGAACUUGGCCACAUAUGAUGACACAAUGCGAAGGUUUCCCAAUUUUUUGAUUUUUUGAAUUUUUUAUGCACGUUUCAAAAUGCGGUCAAAACGGCGGGAAUGACCGUUCCUAGCUAGUGGUUGAAUCUUGGAAUUUUUUGGUGUUUUUCUGAUUAAAUAGAUACUUAUGUACCUAGAAAUGAUUUUUGGAAAAAAAUAAAGAGCAAACUAUGAGGCAGCUACAGUUGAAAUUUGACCGGCUUCUUGCUGAAUCGAUGGAAAUUUGUCUUUUCAUGAGAGGUGGAUCAAAGCUUCUCACACCCAACCAUUUGGUCAAUAGUGCAUUAAAUAUGUCCUAGUAUUUUAGAAAAUUGAUUUGGUACAAUUUUGCAACAAAUAUUUGGUAGGUCCUUCACAAAAAAGCUUAUUUCAGACACUUGAAAAAUGGAAAAUGGAUUUUUCGUCCAAAGAAAAUGAAAACUUCCUUAGGGAACAUUGUUUGCCAUUCCAAUAUGCACCCUUGUGAACAAUUUGAGAUCAUCUGAACAAACUAUGCCAUGAAUGUGGCCAUAAGAUUGAUCAUUUGGCUUCAAAGCCAUUCAUCUCCACACGUGAUAGCUCGUUUCUGAGAACACUUUUUUGAAAAUAAUUGCCGUAUUACAAGUUUGUUAUUUUUCCUGGGAACUUGGCCACAUAUGAUGACACAAAUGCUAAGGUUUCCCAAUUUUUUGAUUUUUUUUGAAUUUGUUAUGCCCGUUUCAAAAUGCAGUCAAAACGGCGGGAAUGACCGUUCCUAGCUAGUGGUGGAAUCUUGGAAUUUUUUGGUGUUUCUCUGAUUCAAUAGAUACUUAUGUACCUAGAAAUUAUUUUUGUAAAAAAUAAAUAGCAAACUAUGAGGCAGCUAUAGUUCAAAUUUGACCCGCUUCCCGCUGAAUCGGCGGAAAUUUGUCUUUUUCAAGAGAGGUGCAUCAAAACUUUUUACACCCAACCAUUUGGUCAAUUGUGCAUUAAAUAUGGCCUAGUAUUUUAGAAAAAUGAUUUGGUCCAAUUUUGCAACAAUUAUUUGUGAGGUCCUUCACAAAAAAACCUCCUUUCGGGCACUCGAAAAAUGGAAAAUGGUUUUUUCGUCCAAAGAAAAUGAAAACUUCCUUAGGCAACAUUGUUUGCCAUUCCAAUAUGCACCCUUGUGCACAAUAUGAGAUCAUUUGAACAAACUAUGCCAUGAAUGUGGCCAUAAGAUUGAUCAUUUGGCUUGAAAGCCAUUCAUCUCCACACGUGAUAGCUCGUUUCUGAGAACACUUUUUUAAAAUAAUUGCCGUACUAGAAGUUUGUUAUUUUUCCAGGGAACUUGGCCACAUAUGAUGACACAAUGCGAAGGUUUCCCAAUUUUUUGAUUUUUUGAAUUUUUUAUGCACGUUUCAAAAUGCGGUCAAAACGGCGGGAAUGACCGUUCCUAGCUAGUGGUUGAAUCUUGGAAUUUUUUGGUGUUUUUCUGAUUAAAUAGAUACUUAUGUACCUAGAAAUUAUUUUUGUAAAAACUAAAUAGCAAACUAUGAGGCAGCUAUAGUUCAAAUUUGACCCGCUUCCACAUGAAUCGGCGGAAAUUUUUCUUUUUCAAGAGAGGUGGAUCAAAGCUUCUCACACCCAACCAUUUGGUCAAUAGUGCAUUAAAUAUGUCCUAGUAUUUUAGAAAAUUGAUUUGGUACAAUUUUGCAACAAAUAUUUGGUAGGUCCUUCACAAAAAAGCUUAUUUCGGACACUUGAAAAAUGGAAAAUGGAUUUUUCGUCCAAAGAAAAUGAAAACUUCCUUAGGGAACAUUGUUUGCCAUUCCAAUAUGCACCCUUGUGAACAAUUUGAGAUCAUUUGAACAAACUAUGCCAUGAAUGUGGCCAUAAGAUUGAUCAUUUGGCUUCAAAGCCAUUCAUCUCCACACGUGAUAGCUCGUUUCUGAGAACACUUUUUUGAAAAUAAUUGCGGUAUUACAAGUUUGUUAUUUUUCCU
RNAcentral lists this long non-coding RNA (2071 nucleotides) under Triticum aestivum (bread wheat). Its description in RNAcentral is "long non-coding RNA (TAES_LNC019187)". The record is from RNAcentral. Lineage: Eukaryota; Viridiplantae; Streptophyta; Magnoliopsida; Poales; Poaceae.